GGCACUGUACCUUCAGGACAUUUG
This 24-nucleotide non-coding RNA is filed under the name Arabidopsis thaliana (thale cress). Lineage: Eukaryota; Viridiplantae; Streptophyta; Magnoliopsida; Brassicales; Brassicaceae. The record is from RNAcentral.